UAUUGGACAAUGGGGGGAACCCUGAUCCAGCGACGCCGCGUGAGUGAAGAAGUAUCUCGGUAUGUAAAGCUCUAUCAGCAGGGAAGAAGAAAUGACGGUACCUGAGUAAGAAGCCCCGGCUAACUACGUGCCAGCAGCCGCGGUAAUACGUAGGGGGCAAGCGUUAUCCGGAUUUACUGGGUGUAAAGGGAGCGUAGACGGCAGCGCAAGUCUGGAGUGAAAUGCCGGGGCCCAACCCCGGAACUGCUUUGGAAACUGUAUGGCUGGAGUGCAGGAGAGGUAAGUGGAAUUCCUAGUGUAGCGGCGAAAUGCGUAGAUAUUAGGAGGAACACCAGUGGCGAAGGCGGCUUACUGGACUGCAACUGACGUUGAGGCUCGAAAGCGUGGGGAGCA
This 393-nucleotide ribosomal RNA is filed under the name uncultured bacterium. RNAcentral's name for it is "bacterial SSU rRNA". It matches the Rfam family "Bacterial small subunit ribosomal RNA", at positions 362 to 770 of the family's 1533-position model. The record is from RNAcentral.